GUCCGGUCCGUAAAGUCCGUAUUCUGGUUCAUGGUCUGAUCCAUUGAUCCUUGUUCCGGGUUUUCCUGUUUUCUCCCUUGUUUUGUUGAGUGCCUCAAUUGAGACACCUGAUUCUCAUUUUGAGCUGGCUACAUAAAUAGCUCCUGGGUUCAGCUUCAUGUGCUGGACUGUCCCCUUCCCUUCCUUCUUUCUGAAGCCUCACCUGCAACCUUUGCCUGAAGCCUAGCCUGCAGUCUUUGCCUACAGCCUAGCCUAAAACCUUCACCUACAUCCUUGCUUGUAAUGCCAUCGGGUUCAACCGCCAGAGCAAGACUGGGACCUCGCUGUGUCAAGAUAAGGAACAGUCCGUCGUUGUUUGGAAGUGUCUCUUUGUGACCUCGCCUUCGCUAGGGUUUUUUUGAAGACCCUGACCUGGAGUUAAACGCUGACUUCUGUGGGAAUGGGACCCGCUCUCGGGGUUUCAUGACUGGCUGUUAUCUGACAUGCCAAGGGCCUGGCCUAAGUGCUCGGCUCACCUUUGGAGGCCUAGGAUCUCGGGGGUCUGGAGAUGGGUGGAUCGAAGGUCGGCGUCCCAACUGACCGGUGUGUCGUGGGAGCUGGAAGAUCUUUGGCUGUGUGCCCAGAGACCUGAUGAUCUUCAGGCACAGAGCUCAGAAAAAGCGACACAACAGACUUUCAACAUCAUAAUCCAGGCACUCCUCUGUUCCUCUGUUUUCAUGGAUGGUUGCGAAGAAAAAGCAUUCCAGGAUGUAUAUUGUAUACAUUUUUCUGCCA
Long non-coding RNA from Mobula hypostoma (lesser devil ray), 774 nucleotides. RefSeq lists it as uncharacterized. The record is from RefSeq and is a predicted model, not a curated record. The transcript is spliced from 3 exons. NCBI's taxonomy places the organism in Eukaryota, Metazoa, Chordata, Chondrichthyes, Myliobatiformes, Myliobatidae.